Molecule: transfer RNA, 61 nt
Filed under: Caudoviricetes sp.
Lineage: Duplodnaviria; Heunggongvirae; Uroviricota; Caudoviricetes
Description: tRNA-Cys
Rfam family: tRNA
About the family: Transfer RNA (tRNA) molecules are approximately 80 nucleotides in length. Their secondary structure includes four short double-helical elements and three loops (D, anti-codon, and T loops). Further hydrogen bonds mediate the characteristic L-shaped molecular structure. tRNAs have two regions of fundamental functional importance: the anti-codon, which is responsible for specific mRNA codon recognition, and the 3' end, to which the tRNAs corresponding amino acid is attached (by aminoacyl-tRNA synthetases). tRNAs cope with the degeneracy of the genetic code in two manners: having more than one tRNA (with a specific anti-codon) for a particular amino acid; and 'wobble' base-pairing, i.e. permitting non-standard base-pairing at the 3rd anti-codon position.
Source: RNAcentral
GGAUGAGUGGCUUAGUCAGCGGUCUGCAAAACCGUGUACGGCGGUUCGAAUCCGCCAGGAA